RNAcentral lists this transfer RNA (82 nucleotides) under Echinostoma caproni. It matches the Rfam family "tRNA". From Rfam's summary of the family: Transfer RNA (tRNA) molecules are approximately 80 nucleotides in length. Lineage: Eukaryota; Metazoa; Platyhelminthes; Trematoda; Plagiorchiida; Echinostomatidae. The record is from Rfam by way of RNAcentral.
GGCCUCGUAGCUCAGCUGGUAAAGCAUGCGCGUACAACGCUCAGGCGGCGUCUAUGUGUGGGUUCGAUUCCCACCGAGGCUA